UAAUUGCGAUUGAAAUUUUUAAAUACCCCGUAUUAAAAAAAAAAAAAAUGAAUCUUCGUAUUAAAUUUAUGUUGCACUUGGCAAAAGUUGGCACAUGUGAGAACCGAAAGCUGUUACGGAUUGUAUAUUUAUAUUUUUUCGGUAUGUUUCCAAACACGAUGAAAUGUCAUACUCCCGCGCUUAAAAUCUAGAAACACGUUCUUCUUUGGAUGUUUUUUUUUGUUUCCAUCUUACUGCUAAGAAAGGGAAAUUUCAUUCCUUUGGGGAAAUUUUUCCAAUCUGGCGUGUAGGAUUUUCUUCUCUGCCAAUCUUCGCCGCUCGCAUCGAUAUUCGGCCCCUCUCUGGAAAGAUCGCCGAAGGAAAUCUUUUUGGAGACGUUUCAUUUUCCGCUCCUUCACACUGUUAUUUACCUCUUCGCACUCUGCUGGCGCGUAACUUUGUUCCGUAGUUAAAGAGAUUCUAAGCGACGUCGGAGUAAAUGGCUCGAAUCCAAUCGGACAGAAGACAAUGCCGUCACACCGAGCCAGAAAGCUUCUAUUGGAGAGAACCUCCGUGUCGCGGCGCGAAAGCGUGUGAUGAACGACAAGCCGUUAGCGCGGUCAUAAAUCUGACGAUGGAUUCAAUUUAUCGCGAUGUUAUCCAUAAAUACUACAUCUCUUCAUGCCGAAUUUUAAUGUGGGAAAAUUCUGACGUCCCUUUAGUCCAAUUAUGAGUUCAUUCCUCCAGAAGCGACGUUCGGAGAUUUAUUUAUUUAAAGGGAAAAAUCGAUGUGAUAUAUAUAUAUAUAUAUUACUUAUAUAGCGAGAAUCCUGAUUUCUUUAGGCGAAUUUUAGGAAUAACU
Molecule: long non-coding RNA, 841 nt
Filed under: Androctonus crassicauda
Lineage: Eukaryota; Metazoa; Arthropoda; Arachnida; Scorpiones; Buthidae
Source: RNAcentral